GGGGAAUAUUGCACAAUGGAGGAAACUCUGAUGCAGCGACGUCGCGUGAACGAUGAAGGCUUUCGAGUCGUAAAGUUCUGUCCUAGGGGACGAUAAUGACGGUACCCUUGGAGGAAGCCCCGGCUAACUACGUGCCAGCAGCCGCGGUAAUGCGUAGGGGGCGAGCGUUGUCCGGAUUUAUUGGGCGUAAAGGGUACGCAGGCGGCCUUUUAAGUCAGAUGUGAAAUCUUACGGCUCAACCGUAAUUAGCAUUUGAAACUGAAAGGCUUGAGUUAAGGAGAGGAAAGUGGAAUUCCUAGUGUAGCGGUGAAAUGCGUAGAUAUUAGGAGGAAUACCAGUGGCGAAGGCGACUUUCUGGACUUAUACUGACGCUGAGGUACGAAAGCGUGGGGAGCAAAC
RNAcentral lists this ribosomal RNA (399 nucleotides) under uncultured bacterium. RNAcentral's name for it is "bacterial SSU rRNA". It matches the Rfam family "Bacterial small subunit ribosomal RNA", at positions 356 to 773 of the family's 1533-position model. The record is from RNAcentral.